UCAUCGUUUAUAUGGUGCACGGUUGUU
Molecule: small RNA, 27 nt
Filed under: Bombyx mori (domestic silkworm)
Lineage: Eukaryota; Metazoa; Arthropoda; Insecta; Lepidoptera; Bombycidae
Description: ovarian small RNA-3273
Source: RNAcentral